Molecule: small RNA, 28 nt
Filed under: Bombyx mori (domestic silkworm)
Lineage: Eukaryota; Metazoa; Arthropoda; Insecta; Lepidoptera; Bombycidae
Description: ovarian small RNA-27192
Source: RNAcentral
UCCCAGUGUGACCUGGAUAGGGAGAUGG